Molecule: ribosomal RNA, 510 nt
Filed under: Emmepus sp. 1 NLG-2013
Lineage: Eukaryota; Metazoa; Arthropoda; Insecta; Coleoptera; Cleridae
Description: partial 16S ribosomal RNA
Rfam family: Bacterial large subunit ribosomal RNA
Source: RNAcentral
UGUCCUUUUGAUUAUAAUUUAAGGUCUAAUCUGCCCAAUGAAAAUUUUAAAUGGCCGCGGUAUUUUGACCGUGCAAAGGUAGCAUAAUAAUUAGUUUCUUAAUUAGAAGCUGGAAUGAAAGAUUGAAUGAGAAAAUAACUGUCUCAAUUUAAUUUAAUUAGAAAUUUAUUUUUAAGUUAAAAAGCUUAAAUUUUAUUAAAAGACGAGAAGACCCUAUAGAGUUUUAUUUUAUUUAUUAAUAAGUAUUUAUGGAUUAAAAUUUAUAUAUUAAUAGAUAAAAUUUUAUUGGGGUGAUAAAAAAAUUAAUUUAACUUUUUUUAUAUUUAACCAUUAAUUAAUGAUUAAUUGAUCCAAAAUUUUUGAUUAAAAGAUUAAAUUACCUUAGGGAUAACAGCGUAAUUUUUUUUGAGAGUUCUAAUCGAAAAAAAAGAUUGCGACCUCGAUGUUGGAUUAAAAUAAAAAUUUGGUGUAGAAGCUAAAUGAUUAGGUCUGUUCGACCUUUAAAAUUUU